GCACAGGGCUCUCUCCACCCCAGCCACGUGACUUACAGACUGUCCAGAGGAGCUGGCUCCAGAGCAGGCAGCGAGACCCCCUCUUCUUCCAGCAGCUUGAAGACCUCUCCUGUAGGAGACAGUCAAUCAGCAGGGGAAUGUGAAACCGGUGGGCCCAAAACAAGGUGUAUCCAGUCAAGCAGUGCUGAAGCCCAGAUGGGGGGCAGCAGACCGCCUGGGCCCUCACCCGUUGUGAGCACACAGUCCACCUCACGUGUCUGGUGCUCCUGGAUGAAGAAGUCGGGCCGAGAUGCCUCCAGCUUCUUGUCGUAGCAUGGCAUCACAGUCACGUGGUAGAUCUUGUCGGGGCUCAGACCCUGGGAGAAUGUGGGUAUGUGGGAGGAAGGGAAGGGUGUCCGGGCAUGACACGGAGGGGGUCAUGGGUACCACGGGCCUAGGCUCUACUCUCAAGGAAAGAAGCUGGAUUUGAGCACAGCUGGAAUGGCCUGGCUCCGGCAGUUCUGGCCCAGAGGCCUUCCCUCCCCUCAGUGCCGGGGGUGAAACGGCAGGAGUGAGCCACAGGGAAUGGGCCUGGGGGACUGACCAUGGCAUGAGGUCUGUGGUGCCAGCAUGUGGCCCAGCCCACCCUGGUGUGUGGCCAUGGGGCCACUCCCUCACAAGAAUCUAGUCCUCUGGAGGCUUCUCACCCAGUGUUACCUGCUGCUGUGCAAAGAAGUCCUUGACCAGGGAGCCCAUGACCUGCUGUGGUGACCGGGCGGUGCUGAUGUGAGGGACCAGGACGCUGCCAUGGGCCUUCUCUGCAUAGCAUAUCCAGCCUGAGGCGACAUGAGACAGAUAAGUCACGAGGCUGCCUCCCUGGCAGCAGUGACACAAGGCUGGGGGUGGGCAGCUUCCAUCAGGGCUGACAUCUCAGUAAGGAGGGGGCUCUCUCCCCUGUCAUUAUGACAAGUUUCUUCUGGCAGCCACGAGAUCACUGUGUGGGCAGAGGUGACUCUCAGGGCAGUCCCCCAGUCCCCAUACCCAGCCAGUUGUUCUGAGAGCAUGCGCACCUGGGCAGGCAGAGGUCAGCACGGGCAGGGCCUCCCCGCCACGGGCCUGUUCCCGGAAGCGCCGCACAAACUCCCGCUGGCUCUCAAGGAGGCUGAAGUUCCUGGAGAAGGCGGUGUCGAACACACGGUGCGCCCCUGUGGAGUCAGCAUGCCUCAGCCCGUGGAGGACAGUGAGGUGGCAGCACCAACCUCACCCCACGGCUGCCGCAGCUCCGUGUCCCAGGAAGGCUUGCUGUGCCCCAGAUGCCAGGGCUUGUGAGGACAGGACACCCCUCAGACAGUAGCCCUGCUGUUGGAGGUCACCCCAUCCCAUACGCAAAUGUCUAGCAAGGACUGAAAAAUUGAGAGGGGAAGGAAAAGCUACACAGAGAGAGAGAGAUGCCUACAGCACUGCUUCACCACUUAUGAAGCUUCUCUCCCUGGAGGUGGGGAUUAGAGGGCUUGAACUGGAGUCCUUGCACAUGGUAAUGUGUGUGCUUUACUGUGUGCACCACUGCCUAGGCUCCCCCACUGAAAAAUGUUUAUUAAAGAACAAGUGAAAAAGGGAAAAAGAAAAUGUGCCAAGUGUCAUUCUGAUACAGAUGACGCCAGGGAUCAGACUUAGGACCUCACGCUUGAGAGUCCAGUGCUUUAUCAGCUGUGCCACCGCCCGGGCUAGUAAGGUGUCUUAAGAGGCAGGACUUCUCCUGUUCAAGCCAGACUCCAGCUAUAGGCAAACCAGGCCAGUUCCCAAGGCCUGCAUGUGGGAAAGCAGCAGGCUAGCCCCAUGUGUACCUA
Molecule: long non-coding RNA, 1826 nt
Organism: Erinaceus europaeus (western European hedgehog)
Lineage: Eukaryota; Metazoa; Chordata; Mammalia; Eulipotyphla; Erinaceidae
Exons: 3
Source: RefSeq, a predicted model, not a curated record